Molecule: long non-coding RNA, 727 nt
Organism: Panicum hallii
Lineage: Eukaryota; Viridiplantae; Streptophyta; Magnoliopsida; Poales; Poaceae
Exons: 2
Source: RefSeq, a predicted model, not a curated record
CCAGACGCCGUGCGGCGGAAAGGGUCAGCGGGUGAGUCCAGUACUGCAGAAGAGACUCAUCCGCCCCGAAGACCACGCCGGUGGCUAGGGCUGGUGGCGCGCUGAAGAACCCACGGCGGCACAGCCUCUCCGCUCGCCUCGGCAGCCUCGCUCCCCCGCACGGCCGCACGGAUGGUGGUUCCAGCACCCCAAACGGCGAUAGGCGUCCGGGGUCUGAUAUAGAUCGUACCGGCGCUCACCCGGCGGAUGGAACCAAGUCACCGGCGCCCACCAGCAGCCUGCCUAGCCGUUCUUCUCCAUCCGUUCUCACAGGUGGUCCCAUAAGCAGAUAAGCUUGCUGUCUUCACUCUUCAUUGAGAAUUGUCACGGGGUGCCAGUGUUGGCUGUUGCCCAUGCUCACCUUUUGUGGACCGCAUCUGCCUCAACUUGUAUGUAAAAUUGUAAAUACAGGCUUGCAUGAUACUACUAUGUCACGGAGUAGAGUAUUCAUUUGACAUCUCACCUAUGUAGCCUGCUGCCUGUUUGUAAGGGUGGGCUAACGGUGUUACUUUUUCUGGACUAUGGAAGAUGGGAGCAUUCCAUCACAGAAAAGCUUGCUUCACGAUGACCCAUCAUUAUCUGAAUCUUGUGGCUGGUGCAGCAUUGUAAUUCUGUAUUGUACAUGUGAUUGUAAAAACAGUCCUCAAAUGAGAACAGUCAGUAAAUCAAUGUUUACAUGAUAUUUACA